AGUUCUUUAACCAGAUACUCCACGCCUUCUGGUUGAGAUGAUGCCUCCUUCUCCGGUGACCCCUUCUUCCUAUAAGCAGACCGGAUUCUUUCAACAGAACUUUCAACCUUAGAAGGGCUUCUCUGAAGACGAGUGUCUACAGGGCGGGGUGCCCUUAGUUGACUCUCUGGAGUAUGUCCUCUGGAUAUACUUCGCCUCUGAACCCGGG
RNAcentral lists this long non-coding RNA (208 nucleotides) under Panax ginseng (ginseng). Its description in RNAcentral is "long non-coding RNA (PGIN_LNC014662)". Lineage: Eukaryota; Viridiplantae; Streptophyta; Magnoliopsida; Apiales; Araliaceae. The record is from RNAcentral.